This 568-nucleotide ribosomal RNA is filed under the name Enterobacter mori. RNAcentral's name for it is "bacterial SSU rRNA". It matches the Rfam family "Bacterial small subunit ribosomal RNA", at positions 863 to 1431 of the family's 1533-position model. The record is from RNAcentral. Lineage: Bacteria; Pseudomonadati; Pseudomonadota; Gammaproteobacteria; Enterobacterales; Enterobacteriaceae.
AGUCGACCGCCUGGGGAGUACGGCCGCAAGGUUAAAACUCAAAUGAAUUGACGGGGGCCCGCACAAGCGGUGGAGCAUGUGGUUUAAUUUGAUGCAACGCGAAGAACCUUACCUACUCUUGACAUCCAGAGAACUUUCCAGAGAUGGAUUGGUGCCUUCGGGAACUCUGAGACAGGUGCUGCAUGGCUGUCGUCAGCUCGUGUUGUGAAAUGUUGGGUUAAGUCCCGCAACGAGCGCAACCCUUAUCCUUUGUUGCCAGCGGUUAGGCCGGGAACUCAAAGGAGACUGCCAGUGAUAAACUGGAGGAAGGUGGGGAUGACGUCAAGUCAUCAUGGCCCUUACGAGUAGGGCUACACACGUGCUACAAUGGCGCAUACAAAGAGAAGCGACCUCGCGAGAGCAAGCGGACCUCAUAAAGUGCGUCGUAGUCCGGAUUGGAGUCUGCAACUCGACUCCAUGAAGUCGGAAUCGCUAGUAAUCGUAGAUCAGAAUGCUACGGUGAAUACGUUCCCGGGCCUUGUACACACCGCCCGUCACACCAUGGGAGUGGGUUGCAAAAGAAGUAGGU